Molecule: long non-coding RNA, 2202 nt
Organism: Cervus elaphus (red deer)
Lineage: Eukaryota; Metazoa; Chordata; Mammalia; Artiodactyla; Cervidae
Exons: 5
Source: RefSeq, a predicted model, not a curated record
AAAUACAGUCACAAUCUGAGGUCCUAGUGGUUAGGACUUCACCAUGGAAUUGGGACACAAUUCAGCCCAUUAACAGCCACUCUUUACUCAGUAAGUGCACAGAAACAACUAGCCAGGGUUGCCAUUUAAUUUGUCGACCCCCAGCUAAGGCCAAAACUCAGAGAUCUUUAGGGCAUGUUCAAUGAGCUGAAAUCUAGAUCUGGGACUCAGAAGACAGGGCUCUCUGGCUCUGCUGUUAUCACAUCAGGAACUUACUCCACCCCUGGGCAUCAGUUGCUCCAUAAUAUAGUCCAGUAAGAGAGAACUGGUUGAUCUUAAAGUUUUUUAAAUAAACUACGAAGAAGUAAUCACUAAACUUAAGCAGUGGUGCUAGAAAAAUAUAUGGACACCAUCAUCAGCUCCUAGAUUUUUAUCCUUCCUGCCAUGUGCCAUUUCUAUUAGCCCAUUCUGAAUAUAGAACUCCAAAGUAUUGCAAAAAGUAUAUUCAGAUGCAGAAUAUAUCAAAAUUGUAGGUUAUGGUGAGAUAUUUUUUCAUGACAAUUUAAAAAAUAUCAAGUCUGCAUUAUUGUAGCUAUUAUAAAUAGUGAACAAUAUAGGGAUAAAAUACUGGCUUUCAUUUUACCAACUUAUUAAGGAUGUCAAAUCAAAAAUGGAUGUAAAUUUAAGUGUACUAGUGAUGAGUUUCAGUGUUUGCUGCUCACUUUCUGGUGGAAAAGAUACAGUUACCAUCUGGAGUGGGAUUUUGUGAAAUGACAGGACUGCAAAGUAAACCAUCAAGGAGGAGCUGUAGCCAAGAGAACAGCAAAAGAAAAAAGUCCUGUGAAGGAUCAGAAAUAGAGCAGCCCACAAGCUGAUGUUCUUCCAAGGCUCUGCUCAGCUCCAAGAUGGAAAUUAAAGCCGCACCUCAGCCAUGAAGCAUCUCUGACAGCCUGAACUGCAUCUCUCUCCCCGCCAGCUCCUGUGGGCGUUCUGAAGGGACCCAUGAUGAGCUAUAUUGUAAUGUCUGAGCCCUUUGACUCAGCUGUCAACACCCAUUCUCUAAACCAGUGGUUCUCACUAGGGCAAUGUCUGCCACCUAGGGGACAUUUAGCAUUGUCUGGAGAUAUUUUGGGCUUUCCAGGUGGUGUUAGUGGUAAAGAACCUGCCUGCCAAUGCAGGAGACAAAUGAGAUGCCAGUUUGAUUCCUGGGUUGGGAAAUCCCCUGGAGGAGAGCAUAGCAAUCCACUCCAGUAUUCUUGCCUGGAGAAUCCCAUGGACAGAGGAACCUGGCGGUAGAUAUUUUCAUGGCCGAAGUUUGGGGGAGGCAUCUAGUGGGUGGAGACUAGAAGUGUCGCUGAACAUCCUACAACACAUGGGAUGGCCACCCACAACAAAGAAUUAUCCAGCCCAGAUGUCCAUAGUCCUGAGGCUGAGAAAAACUGCCUUCAGCUGACCCUGAAUGAGCUGCUUGAGGUCAGGUCCAUGUCUUGUUUAAUGCUGUGCCUGAGGGUCUAUGCCCCAGGGGCUGGCAUGCAGGAGGUACUCAAGUACUCAAGGGGGUCUAAAGAGAGAGUCAGUCUCAGCCCAGGAGCACACAGCUGAGUCAGGGAAGGGACCACGUGCACACCGGCUUUCCUCCCCACUGACAGUGCAACUGGGGCGGGACAACCAUGACAUGGAUCGCUGAGAGGGGCUUCAUGAGUAUGGGGAGAGGGCCUUAGAAUUGUUUAGUGGGGCUCUUAAGGUUGCAGGAACAGAAAUGCAGGGAGAGAGAUGAAACAUUCACUGUGGAGAUGAGUGCAUGGAAACCAAGCCUUGAGAAAAACAGAGCAGCUGCAAGAAGGCUGGGCUGGGACCUGUCACACUGGCAACUUGCGUGAAGAAGAUGAAGUUGUAGGUCACCUGAACACCCUUGGAUCAACUGGGUAUAAGAGGAAGCCUGUGGUAUAAAAUAAUACCAUGGCCUAGAUCUUCCACUGAGUCAACUGCUGGGACAAGCCAGUCCAUAGGAAGGAGGGGGAGAGGAUGCAGUGACAAAGAGGGCCACGGGAAGAGGCAGGCAGAGGCUGGAGCGAUGCCGCCACAAGCCAGGAACGCUGAGAGCCACCAGAAGCUGGAAGGGAUGUGGACACAAGCUCCCAUGGAAGCUUCAGAGGAAGCGUGGUCCUGCUGACGCCUGAAUUCAGGGCUUCCAGCCUCCAGGGCUGUGGGGUAAUCAGCUUG